This 21-nucleotide microRNA is filed under the name Apis mellifera (honey bee). RNAcentral describes it as "ame-miR-3722-5p". The record is from miRBase by way of RNAcentral. Lineage: Eukaryota; Metazoa; Arthropoda; Insecta; Hymenoptera; Apidae.
CCGAUUCGAGGUGUGACGGUU